Molecule: ribosomal RNA, 379 nt
Filed under: Microcystis aeruginosa
Lineage: Bacteria; Bacillati; Cyanobacteriota; Cyanophyceae; Chroococcales; Microcystaceae
Description: bacterial SSU rRNA
Rfam family: Bacterial small subunit ribosomal RNA
Source: RNAcentral
CAAGGUGAAAUCUAAUUGGCCUGGAGAAGAGCUUGCGUCUGAUUAGCUAGUUGGUGGGGUAAGAGCCUACCAAGGCGACGAUCAGUAGCUGGUCUGAGAGGAUGAGCAGCCACACUGGGACUGAGACACGGCCCAGACUCCUACGGGAGGCAGCAGUGGGGAAUUUUCCGCAAUGGGCGAAAGCCUGACGGAGCAACGCCGCGUGAGGGAGGAAGGUCUUUGGAUUGUAAACCUCUUUUCUCAAGGAAGAAGUUCUGACGGUACUUGAGGAAUCAGCCUCGGCUAACUCCGUGCCAGCAGCCGCGGUAAUACGGGGGAGGCAAGCGUUAUCCGGAAUUAUUGGGCGUAAAGCGUCCGCAGGUGGUCAGCCAAGUCUGCC